This is a transfer RNA of 73 nucleotides. It matches the Rfam family "tRNA". Rfam says of the family: Transfer RNA (tRNA) molecules are approximately 80 nucleotides in length. Their secondary structure includes four short double-helical elements and three loops (D, anti-codon, and T loops).
AGGAGUAUCGUACAACUGGUGAGUACUCACGACCGAUAAUCGUGCAAUAUAGGUUCGAUUCCUAUUAUUCCUA